Molecule: ribosomal RNA, 324 nt
Filed under: uncultured eukaryote
Lineage: Eukaryota
Description: partial 18S ribosomal RNA
Rfam family: Eukaryotic small subunit ribosomal RNA
Source: RNAcentral
CCCUUAGAUGUUCUGGGCUGCACGCGCGCUACACUGAUGCGAUCAACAAGUUUUUCCUAUGUCGAUAGACACGGGUAAUCCUUUGAACUCGCAUCGUGAUGGGGAUAGAUUAUUGUAAUUAUUAAUCUUCAACGAGGAAUUCCUAGUAGGUGCAAAUCAUCAGUUUGCAUCGAUUACGUCCCUGCCCUUUGUACACACCGCCCGUCGCUGCUACCGAUUGGUUGAUCUGGUGAAUUAUUCGGACUGCCGGCUGAAGGGGUUUCCUCAUCUGCCAGCGGAAAGUCUUGUUAACCCUAUCAACUAGAGGAAGCAGAAGUCGUAACA